RNAcentral lists this ribosomal RNA (491 nucleotides) under uncultured bacterium. RNAcentral's name for it is "partial 16S ribosomal RNA". It matches the Rfam family "Bacterial small subunit ribosomal RNA", at positions 29 to 506 of the family's 1533-position model. The record is from RNAcentral.
AGUGAACGCUGGCGGUAGGCCUAACACAUGCAAGUCGAACGGCAGCACAGUAAGAGCUUGCUCUUACGGGUGGCGAGUGGCGGACGGGUGAGGAAUACAUCGGAAUCUACUUUUUCGUGGGGGAUAACGUAGGGAAACUUACGCUAAUACCGCAUACGACCUACGGGUGAAAGCAGGGGAUCUUCGGACCUUGCGCGAUUGAAUGAGCGGAUGUCGGAUUAGCUAGUUGGCGGGGUAAAGGCCCACCAAGGCGACGAUCCGUAGCUGGUCUGAGAGGAUGAUCAGCAACACUGGAACUGAGACACGGUCCAGACUCCUAGGGGAGGCAGCAGUGGGGAAUAUUGGACAAUGGGCGCAAGCCUGAUCCAGCCAUACCGCGUGGGUGAAGAAGGCCUUCGGGUUGUAAAGCCCUUUUGUUGGGAAAGAAAAGCAGCAGGUUAAUACCCCGCUGUUCUGACGGUACCCAAAGAAUAAGCACCGGCUAACUUCGU